Molecule: ribosomal RNA, 492 nt
Filed under: uncultured bacterium
Lineage: Bacteria
Description: partial 16S ribosomal RNA
Rfam family: Bacterial small subunit ribosomal RNA
Source: RNAcentral
AGUGAACGCUGGCGGUAGGCCUAACACAUGCAAGUCGAACGGCAGCACAGUAAGAUCUUGCUCUUACGGGUGGCGAGUGGCGGACGGGUGAGGAAUACAUCGGAAUCUACUUUUUCGUGGGGGAUAACGGAGGGAAACUUACGCUAAUACCGCAUACGACCUACGGGUGAAAGCAGUGGAUCUUCGGACCUUGCGCGAUUGAAUGAGCCGGUGUCGGAUUAGCUAGUUGGCGGGGUAAAGGCCCACCAAGGCAACGAUCCGUAGCUGGUCUGAGAGGAUGAUCGGCCACACUGGAACUGAGACACGGUCCAGACUCCUACGGGAGGCAGCAGUGGGGAAUAUUGGACAAUGGGCGCAAGCCUGAUCCAGCCAUACCGCGUGAGUGAAGAAGGCCUUCGGGUUGUAAAGCCCUUUUGUUGGGAAAGAAAAGCAGCAGGUUAAUACCCCGCUGUUCUGACGGUACCCAAAGAAUAAGCACCGGCUAACUUCGUG